Cyprinodon variegatus (sheepshead minnow) is the source of this 2909-nucleotide long non-coding RNA. RefSeq lists it as uncharacterized. NCBI's taxonomy places the organism in Eukaryota, Metazoa, Chordata, Actinopteri, Cyprinodontiformes, Cyprinodontidae. The transcript has 4 exons. The record is from RefSeq and is a predicted model, not a curated record.
CAAGGCGGUGAUGAAUGAUCGGCCGAUUGCCGAGGGAUUAGAGUCGUCACGGUUACCUGUGCUUUGACAAAGUGGUCCUGAUUGGUGACCAAGGAACUCCAUGUGGGGGUCAUAUCUCAGAAUGGACUAGAGUUGGGUUAUGUGUAUGUGUUUAGUCUCAUUUGAACCUACGUGUGGUCCGAACAUCAGGAAGGGGCUAAGGGUGAGCUGCUGUUCCCUUGGACACUGAUGCUGCACGACAGAGAUUGGCGAGGUCCCGGCAGCAAUGUGACCAUGCUGACACCGGAGAACCCUCUAAACGGGUGCUGGUGGACACUGAUGAAUCGGCGGUCGGAGGAAUCGAAUGCAGGCCUAAUCAGUGCAUGGAUCUCCCUGCAGCAACAUUUUUCAGUUUUGUCCUGCCUUAUCAGGUGAAGGCCAUCAGGUACAUGGUGGCUCAGGGCCUGGGUUUGAUUCCUGGCCCCUUUCUGAAUGGAGUUUGCAUGCCUCCCCUAUGAAUGCCUGGUUUCUCUCCAGGUACCUUGGCUUCCUCCCACAGUCAGUAAAAAGCACCCCUCAGGUGAUGCAGCACUUUAAGGGUUAAGUCGGCAGCAUACUGGAUCUCUGCAGAGGUGACAGAUGCUUCCUAUCCCACCCAGCACCACAGGGGAACGGGAGACACUCACCAUACCAAUGAGCCACCGUCUGACACACACGCGUGCACACACACAUGCACAUUUAUAUGCAAGCAUGCACACGGACACACAUAUGCACAGGAACACGCCGACUUGGACACACACACUUCACCUUCUGGGCUAUAUAAAAGAUGUCAUAUUUAUGAUAAUCAGCUGUAUGAGCAUCAUUUAUGCAUCUUCUUGAUUUGUAUGAAUGUAAUAAAACAAAUAGAUGUGCAUGACUUCUCUUCCAGCAGGAGUCAGAAAGAUGUGAUCUUUUGUCUCAACACAUGACCUUUUAUAGAGGGCCGUCGCACACGACAGCCAGGAACAGUGGCAUAAAUACAGAUAGUCUCAAGCAUAUGGUCCAAACACAGUACAUACACACAGGCAGACACAUACACACGCAAUAAAAGUGACAGCUGUCGUCAUGAUGGAGCACCCAAAGAAGAGGAAGUGAAGGCUUAGGCACCACGCAACAUGGUGUCGAGAAGACCCGCUAUUCAUUUUCAGCUUAAUAUGUUCCAGCCCAUUGGAAAAACAUUGCAGCAUAUAAUGUAAGCAAUUUCAUAUGCGCACACGGCUCCCACACAGCUUUCCUCUCCGAAGCACCGGGCGAAAUGAAGAGACCAGAUUAAGAUGACGGUUGACUGACUUCAAAAAUAACCCAGAGCCUGAACAGGGUGGGGAGAUGUCCAGUCGUGUGUAGCUGCAGGAAAACAUCUAAACUUCUAUAUGUGUUUGUGUCUCUGUGUUUGUGUGUUAAUUAAUCUGGUCCCAUCAGUGUCUCUGUUCUGCACUUCUGAACACUCGCUCUCCAUCGCCUGGUGUGGUGUUUAGCCAGCAAAGCGGAAAAGAUCAUCAGCGGUAUGACAUGGAACGGAUGGCUCUACAAACAUGGAUGCAAAUAGGGGGGGAAAACUGGAAAGGACACAUACAUUUUCCUUAGAAAUGCCUGGCCAUUGACACUUUUUAUCUUUAAGAUCCAAUUUUUUUUCCUUUUUUUUAGGACUACCAUUCUCUGUCAUAUAUAAAAUAAAAUAAAAUGACUAUUACCUCCAUUUAUACAUCACAUUUUUUUUUUACUUAAUGGGAAUUUGAAAAAUCCUCAUUAAGUAAAAAAAAACUAACAUUACGGCAUGAAUAUAUGAUGUUGAUCUAUCUGAUUAUAGACAAAAAAAAUAGUAGUAGUUCUCCCAGUGUACUUGCAUUAUUUCCUAUGCUGCCAUGUGUGCUGGCAUUUUGAAAAAGGUCUUAUGUUGGUGUAACUGAGAGGAAUAUUUGUUAUCAUACAUUCCUGUCAUAUCUUUGAAGUAUGUCAGUCACAUUGGAAGCACUACUGUUCUGAAUUGUCCACAUGUAUUGGCAUCAAAGGAGUGAAAUUUACUGAGUUUACUUCUUUUUCUGUCAUCAGCUGACCCUCUAAGAAAAAUCACUCCUCUAUAAAUGCUUCAAAAUAGUCACAUAGUAUUAAUUGAUCAGAGUUUUAGUCCAGCUAUCAGUAACAGUUUCCAUUUUACGCAACCUGCAUGCCAGAGUGAGUUAAUAUUCAUUAACCGGAGCAUGCACAGACCACAUAGCAUAAUAUGAGAUUACCCAACAUAAUUUCAAAUCAUUGCUGCAAUAUCUGAGUCACUGUUGCAUUGAUAAGAUAUAUAUUUUAUUUUUUUGCUGUAAAAUUUAUAAGGUGAUGUCAGAACAUUUAUUUCAUAAGAUUUUGGAGAGAAAAGCAGAUUUAGAAGUGUGGUAUUAGUUAUAUGGUGGUAUUAGUUUUGAUGCAUUAAUAAACAGGUGGAUAAAUCUGUAGGUUUUGCUUUUCAAAAUUUGACCUAAAGUUGACAGAUUCUCAAAAAAGAGACACCAAGCACUUCAGAACACAUCCAUACAAAGUCGACACUAUAAUGCUUUUUCUUUCUGGAGGAUAAAUGCUAAGGUGCAUGGAUCCACACACAAACAAAGGAGCAACAGCCUCAGCCAAUCCUCCAGCAUCUUUAUAAGGCUAAAUAAAUGGUGAGCUUGGCAGUGGGUAAAUACAUGUGCUCUCAGCCUGCAGGGCCCAGAUGGCAGCCCAGUCAUUUGCUUUACCUUGUUUUGUUUUAAUUACUACAAUCUACUCUCUAUUUCUAAAAUUAAUCACCACCAACCUGUUCUCUAUAUCUCUCUCCCCAUCUUUUGUGCACACAUAACAGCCAGUAAUCAAAUAUUAAAACUGGCAAAAAAUACACAUAUCAAUGCAACAUAGAGAAACACAGCAAU